AAAAAAAAUAAAUAAAUAAAUAAAUAAAUAAAAAAUAAAACAAAGAUACUACAAUAAAAUUUAAUUUUUAAUAUAAAAUAGAUAGAUAAAUUUGAUAUCAAAAAAUUAAAAAUUAAAUUUAAUUCACGAUUUAAACUCAAAUUUAAAUUUUAAUGUAAAAUAGAUGGAUAAAAGUACUAUUUUUUAACAGAUUGAUAUUCUGGUAAAAAUUUAGAUAAGCAUGAAUUUGUUUCUAUUUUAAAGAUAAAAAGAAAAUAAAUAAUUUUGAAUUUUUUGAUAGAUUCACAGUAGAUAUCUUUUAGUUGGUAAAAAUUUGGAUAAGUAUAUUUUUUUCUAUUUUAGAGAUAUAGAAAGAAAUUAAAAAUUUGUUUCAUUAGGUUAUUUAUUUUACGUAAGAAAAGAAGAAUCAAUUUUUUUUUCACGUCAAAAAAUGGGUCUGUCGAUAGAUCGAAAUUUGAAAUACGUGAUUUUAUAUAUAGUAUAGAUAUAGAUAGAUAGUAUAGAUAUUAUAUUACAGAUAGAUAUAAAGAAGAAUUAAAUAAAAAUUCACGGUAGAUAUUCUUCGAUUGGCAAAAAUUUGGAUAAGCAUAAAUUAUUUUUCUGUUGUAGAAAUAAAGAGGAAAUAAAAGUUUGUUUAAUUCUGUUAUUUAUUUUACGUAAGGAAAGAUGAAUCAAUUUUUUUUCCGCCAAAAAAUGGGUAUGGCAACUGACCGAAAUUUAAAAUACAUGCUUUUAUAUAUAGUGUAUAGAUAUAGAUAGAUAGUAUAGAUAUUAUAUUACAGAUAGAUAUAAAGAAGAAUUAAAUAAAAAUUCACGGUAGAUAUUCUUCGAUUGGCAAAAAUUUGGAUAAGCAUAAAUUAUUUUUCUGUUGUAGAAAUAAAGAGGAAAUAAAAGUUUGUUUAAUUCUGUUAUUUAUUUUACGUAAGGAAAGAUGAAUCAAUUUUUUUUCCGCCAAAAAAUGGGUAUGGCAACUGACCGAAAUUUAAAAUACAUGCUUUUAUAUAUAGUGUAUAGAUAUAGAUAGAUAGUAUAGAUAUUAUAUUACAGAUAGAUAUAAAGAAGAAUUAAAUAAAAAUUCACGGUAGAUAUUCUUCGAUUGGCAAAAAUUUGGAUAAGCAUAAUUUUUUUUUCUGUUGUAGAAAUAAAGAGGAA
RNAcentral lists this long non-coding RNA (1152 nucleotides) under Ananas comosus (pineapple). Its description in RNAcentral is "long non-coding RNA (ACOM_LNC005220)". The record is from RNAcentral. Lineage: Eukaryota; Viridiplantae; Streptophyta; Magnoliopsida; Poales; Bromeliaceae.